GAUGAAAAACGCAGCGAAAUGCGAUAAGUAAUGUGAAUUGCAGAAUUCAGUGAAUCAUCGAGUCUUUGAACGCACAUUGCGCCCCCUGGUAUUCCGGGGGGCAUGCCUGUCCGAGCGUCAUUGCCGCCCUCAAGCACGGCUUGUGUGUUGGGCCCCCGCCCCCCGGCUUCGGGGGGCGGGCCCGAAAGGCAGCGGCGGCACCGCGUCCGGUCCUCGAGCGUAUGGGGCUUCGUCACCCGCUCUGUAGGCCCGGCCGGCGCCCGCCGGCGACCCCAAUCAAUCUUUCCAGGUUGACCUCGGAUCAGGUAGGGAUACCCGCUGAACUUAAGCAUAUCAAUAAGCGGAGGA
Molecule: unclassified non-coding RNA, 348 nt
Filed under: soil metagenome
Description: partial contains 5.8S ribosomal RNA, internal transcribed spacer 2, and large subunit ribosomal RNA
Rfam family: 5.8S ribosomal RNA (bases 1-120)
Source: RNAcentral